This 253-nucleotide ribosomal RNA is filed under the name uncultured bacterium. Its description in RNAcentral is "partial 16S ribosomal RNA". It matches the Rfam family "Bacterial small subunit ribosomal RNA", at positions 524 to 776 of the family's 1533-position model. The record is from RNAcentral.
UACGUAGGUGGCAAGCGUUGCUCGGAAUGACUGGGCGUAAAGGGCGCGUAGGCGGCGAUCACAGUCAGAUGUGAAAUUCCUGGGCUUAACCUGGGGGCUGCAUUUGAUACGUGGUUGCUUGAGUGGGGAAGAGGGUCGUGGAAUUCCCAGUGUAGCGGUGAAAUGCGUAGAUAUCAUAAGGAAGACCAGUGGCGAAGGCGGGUCUCUGGACAGUUCCUGACGCUGAGGCACGAGGGCCAGGGGAGCAAACGGG